This 393-nucleotide ribosomal RNA is filed under the name uncultured bacterium. Its description in RNAcentral is "partial 16S ribosomal RNA". It matches the Rfam family "Bacterial small subunit ribosomal RNA", at positions 523 to 918 of the family's 1533-position model. The record is from RNAcentral.
AUACGGAGGAUCCGAGCGUUAUCCGGAUUUAUUGGGUUUAAAGGGAGCGCAGGCGGAGAUGCAAGCGUGACGUCAAAUUUCGGGGCUCAACCCCGUCUCGCGUCGCGAACUGCGUCCCUUAGUUGCGGGAAGGGGAGGCGGAACUCGUGGUGUAGCGGUGAAAUGCAUAGAUAUCACGAAGAACUCCGAUCGCGAAGGCAGCCUUCCGGCCCGUCAACGACGCUCAUGCUCGAAGGUGCGGGUAUCAAACAGGAUUAGAUACCCUGGUAGUCCGCACAGUAAACGAUGGACACCCGCGGUUUGGCCUGUAUGGCUGAGCCGCCAAGCGAAAGCGUUAAGUGUCCCACCUGGGGAGUACGCCGGCAACGGUGAAACUCAAAUGAAUUGACGGGG